GCUUGUCUCAAAGAUUAAGCCAUGCAUGUCUAAGUAUAAGCAUUUAUACAGUGAAACUGCGAAUGGCUCAUUACAUCAGUUAUAGUUUAUUUGAUAGUCCCCACUACUUGGAUAACCGUAGUAAUUCUAGAGCUAAUACAUGCGUCAAGUCCCUACCGCGCGAGCGGGAAGGAUGUGUUUAUUAGAUACAACCAACCCUUCGGGUCCCUGGUGAAUCAUAAUAAUUGAGCGAACCGCAUGCUUCGGCGGCGGUGGUUCAUUCAAGUUUCUGCCCUAUCAGCUUUCGAUGGUAGGGUAUUGGCCUACCAUGGCGUUAACGGGUAACGGAGAAUUAGGGUUCGAUUCCGGAGAGGGAGCCUGAGAGAUGGCUACCACAUCCAAGGAAGGCAGCAGG
Molecule: ribosomal RNA, 394 nt
Filed under: Adriamonas peritocrescens
Lineage: Eukaryota; Bigyra; Bicosoecida; Siluaniidae
Description: partial small subunit ribosomal RNA
Rfam family: Eukaryotic small subunit ribosomal RNA
Source: RNAcentral